CCCAAAACAUGUUUGAUAUUUUAAAUAUUUUGACUCUGGUACCAGUCGAAGACAGUCUUCAACUGCACAUCACAUGUGGCGCGGGCUCAGUCCCAAUACAUAGGGUGACACCCGCGCGUGCCUAUCAAAGCACUCAUCAUAUGAGCCUCCGGGUGGAGAGCCACGCUUCGUCACACGAUCACGCGUGAGAGUUUCCGAAAAUCGGAUAGUCUCCCCUAAUCCUUUGCUUUGACACCAAAUAUCACAAAGCCCUCAGAUCCCGAGGAUUGUGUGAUUCAAAUAAACAUGCAUAAAUCACAACUUCUUGUGAUUUGAAGAUUGAGAUCAUAUCUCAACCAUAAAAGAGAUCAGAUCUCUUACCUUUAGAAGGGGGUUCCUUCAAGGAUGCUUCGCAGCCGCACAAGUGUCCGGCCUCGAUGACUCGUCCACGCAAAGCUCCGGAAUAAUCAGCUUCCCGGGAAGUGCUAGCUCGCAGGGAGGCAGAAGGUUGGCUGAAAGGGAGAAGAAGGAAGAAGAUGGACCUUCACAGCUCAAGAACUCCUUCUUGGGCUUUCACCUUCAGAACUACUAUCUCCUCUCACUCUUUCUCUGGUGCUCUUGAUCUUGUUCAGAAGAAGGAAGAGGGGUGGUCUAUUUAUAGGCCAAGAAGAGGGUGAGGUGUCCCUAUGAGGUGUCCAGGACACAUGUCACACAUACAAGGAAAAGAGGUGU
This 711-nucleotide long non-coding RNA is filed under the name Phoenix dactylifera (date palm). RNAcentral's name for it is "long non-coding RNA (PDAC_LNC018959)". The record is from RNAcentral. Lineage: Eukaryota; Viridiplantae; Streptophyta; Magnoliopsida; Arecales; Arecaceae.